CGUGAAGUCAUCCUGGGGGUACGAGUAGGGCUACACACGUGGUACAAUGGCGCAUACAGAGGGCGGCCAACUUGGGAAAGUGAGGGAAUCCCAAAAAGUGGGUCGUAGUCCGGAUUGGAGUCUGCAACUGGACUCCAUGAAGUCGGAAUCGCUAGUAAUCGGGAUCAGAAUGCCACGGGGAAUAGGUUCCCGGGCCUGUACACAC
This 205-nucleotide ribosomal RNA is filed under the name bacterium AS5. RNAcentral describes it as "partial 16S ribosomal RNA". It matches the Rfam family "Bacterial small subunit ribosomal RNA", at positions 1183 to 1390 of the family's 1533-position model. The record is from RNAcentral.